AGGGUUCGAUUCUGGCUCAGGAUGAACGCUGGCUGUAUGCCUAACACAUGCAAGUCGUACGAGAGUUUUUAACUCUAGUGGCGGACGGGUGAGUAACACGUGAGAAUUUGCCUUUAGGAGGGGGAUAACAAUUGGAAACGACUGCUAAUACCCCAUAUGCUUCCGAGUGAAAUGGAUUUAUAUUUAUCCGCCUAAAGAGAGGCUCGCGGCUGAUUAGCUUGUUGGUAAGGUAAGAGCUUACCAAGGCGACGAUCAGUAUCUGGUUUGAGAGGACGACCAGACACACUGGAACUGAGACACGGUCCAGACUCCUACGGGAGGCAGCAGUGGGGAAUUUUCCGCAAUGGGCGAAAGCCUGACGGAGCAAUACAGCGUGAGGGAAGACUGCCUAUGGGUUGUAAACCUCUUUUUUCAGGGAGGAAUAAAAUGACGUGUACCUGAAGAAUAAGCAUCGGCUAACUCCGUGCCAGCAGCCGCGGUAAGACGGAGGAUGCAAGUGUUAUCCGGAAUCACUGGGCGUAAAGCGUCUGUAGGUGGUUUAAUAAGUCAACUGUUAAAUCUUGAGGCUCAACCUCAAAAUCGCAGUCGAAACUAUUAGACUAGAGUAUAGUAGAGGUAAAGGGAAUUUCCAGUGGAGCGGUGAAAUGCGUAGAUAUUGGAAAGAACACCGAUGGCGAAAGCACUUUACUGGGCUAUUACUAACACUCAGAGACGAAAGCUAGGGUAGCAAAUGGGAUUAGAUACCCCAGUAGUCCUAGCCGUAAACUAUGGAUACUAGAUGUUGAACAGAUCGACCUGUGCAGUAUCAAAGCUAACGCGUUAAGUAUCCCGCCUGGGAAGUAUGCUCGCAAGAGUGAAACUCAAAUGAAUUGACGGAAUCA
This 881-nucleotide ribosomal RNA is filed under the name uncultured bacterium. RNAcentral describes it as "bacterial SSU rRNA". It matches the Rfam family "Bacterial small subunit ribosomal RNA", at positions 8 to 921 of the family's 1533-position model. The record is from RNAcentral.